Molecule: RNA transcript, 6424 nt
Organism: Drosophila subpulchrella
Lineage: Eukaryota; Metazoa; Arthropoda; Insecta; Diptera; Drosophilidae
Gene: Stlk
Gene name: putative serine/threonine-protein kinase STE20-like
Exons: 8
Source: RefSeq, a predicted model, not a curated record
AUACAUAAGUCAUUUUUGAUUGAGAUGUGCAGCAACAAUAUACGCCACUAUAAACUAUUGCAAAUAUUAAAAUAUGGGAAAUAUGGAACAGUUUACAUGGGAUAUGAUUUAAAUAAUAAAUGUUUAGCUAUUAAAAAAAUGUCUCUGGAUCAACCAAUAGAAGAGCUUACGGCAAUGUGCAAUGAAAUUUUGACUAUUCGUCGUUUUAAGCAUAAAAAUAUUAUCACAAUCCUUCACUGCUUUUUGUAUAAUCAGCAUGCAUAUCUGAUAUUCCCAUAUAUGUGUUUUGAAAACUGUGAAAUUCUGCUUCAAAAAGUGUAUACCUCUGGUUUUCCGGAGAUUAUGAUAGCACUUAUCAUAAAGGAUGUAUUAUCAGCUAUUACAUAUAUUCACUCUGAGAACUGUGUCCAUGGAUCUAUAAGAGCUCAGCAUGUUCUUAUAAAUUCUAGAAAAGCUGUUAUAUCAAAUUUUCGUGAUUGCCAAACUUUUAUUAAUCAAGGAGAAAAAAAGAAUGUGCUGUAUGGAUCAACGGUGGGAAAAAAAAAUCAGUUGUAUUGGAAAGCACCAGAAGUUUUAAAUCAAAACCUUUCUGGCUACACCGAAAAAAUAGACAUAUACUCCACAGGAAUCACUUGUUGUGAAAUGGCAAAUGGGUUUCAACCGUAUCAAGGCACAGAAUUAACAUACAUGUAUAUUGAAAAAGCUCGUGGAAGUCGUCCUUUGCUAUUGGAUCAGAGCAGUAUUAUGGAAGACCAAGAGUCAAGCUUACUGCCUCAAACAAAUGAACAAUUUCGCCGUGAUAUAUUUAUGAAAAAAUCGUUUUCAGAUGACUUUCAUCAGUUCGUUGAACUAUGCUUGAAUAAAAAUCCACUAUCUCGAUGGGCCACGUCAAAAUUAAUGACACACUCCUUUCUGAAGCAAUGCCGCUCUACAAGUCUUGCAGAGCACUUCAAAGAUUUCAAUCAUGAUUUGUCAAAAUGUAAAUUAAAAGAACGAGUCACAGCGAAUGAACAAAAACUAUCAAUACUGAAUGCUUUUACUUUUAAGGGGUUAUAUACCUUCUUUGUCGAAGAAAAAGAGGAAUGUUUGGAUUUUUUUUUAGAUGAAACGUUUUCUAGCGCUGACACUAACCCAAUCAGGGACAAUGAUAAUACAAUAUGGAAUUUUUAAUCAAUUUAAAUAAACUGCGUAAUAUUUUGGACAUUAAUCUACCAUUUAAAAUGGUGAGAACUAGUUUUCAUUUUUUGGACCACCCUAAUGUGCAAAGACACCGCCGUCUUACAAAUUUACGCGGUCAAAGCAGAGGAUUUUUUUUGCUGGAAAAAGGGUACAGGUGCCGCGGAAAAUUAUGCUCCGCUAGUCAUGUAUUUGUAGAGCUCGCAUGGAAACACGGCCCUCAAAAGAGACAUACGCGAUGCGCGUGUGUAUGGUCACCUAAUCCUCAGGAGCUCCAGGGGAAAAGAAGGGACAGGCCAAAAAGGCAAACGAAGAGGACAAAUAAGGCUCUCGGGUCUAAGUCCGGAUGAAUUCACAAACAGGGAACCACUAUUGGGCAGGUCCUGGAGGCGAUGAUAGACCGGGCUGAAGACUUCUCGCCGGAAGCCAGCAGCGAUACGGGUCUCCAAGAAAGAAAACUGGCGCACUACGGUGAGUUGUGCAAGGGCAGUCGGAGGUUCGGCCGCCCGACAAAAUGGCGGUACUUCUCAACGCCGCGAUGCGACGGCUGGAAAUUCCCGAGAUGAGGUGGACGUGGUAGACCGGAACGGACUCACCGGGAAGUGCUUGAUGUCGUCGGCGUCGACUGAGAAAGGCGUUUAUGGCUGGUCGUCUAUGCGGGUCGAACGGACACCGGUUGCUGGCAGCCAAGUCGGGGCUGGUACGUAUGGCGAAGUCGCGCAGAUAUCAGUAGUACUCCCAAGUAAAUAUCCCGGGGCCCUUUGUGUUGGGACCCCGGCUGCCUUUAUAAAUGAUUAUUAAUAAAUAACGAACUACCAUGUAACUUUCCUAUCACUCACUAUUAUUCAGUUUUAAGCACAACAAAAUUUAUCCUAGCACUUCCAGCUGCAUCUGCCUGGUUGGACAAUAUGGCGGCGACUAUCCUCAUAUCUGCUGAUCAUCGUUUCUCCCCCCGCCAUAUUACAUGGCCAUUCCCAAAAUUGGGUCAUUGGAUAUAUGGGGCCAUUUAAGGUAAUCCCAGAGCGAACCGGGAUUAAUCCUCAAAUGACCAGAUCACCCGCCAGAUUCAUCCCGCUGCUGAAACUAUCGACCUAACCUAUCGAUAAAGUCCCUCUCUUAUUAUCGACUCCACUUGCAACACAGUGAGCACUUGUUGCUGGCACAAGGACGCUUUGAUGGCGAUGGUAACUGCGAUGCCGGACCACAGGCGAUGCAGGGACUGCGAUGAGGUUGAGCUAAAGUAGGUUACCUGCUAGUUGGGAUAGUGUAUUUCGAGCCCUAUUUCCAGAAGUAGGAAGUAAAACCGCGGAGCUAAGAGUUGCGUUGAUAACUGAUUUAUUCUUAAAUGGAACAUGGAAGCUUAGUGUAAUGAAUAGUGAAAUGAAACAUAUUCUAAAGUACGUCAGGAGAUUUUGACUAUGAUAGCAGUUUGCGUAGUUGGCUCGGCUGACACUGCAAAAUGUGCUGAUCACAUUGGGCAGUCAAUGUGCCUUUGAGUCGGUAAGACGGUGAGGUAGUGAAACAUAAUCUAGUGAUCAGCAAUUCUCAUCUGCAGUGGGUACUGUUCCCAACAUGGCAACUGCUUGAUUUGUUGAAUGCAGGUCAUGUUGAGCCCCCUUCGGUACAAACAUUCUCCCCCCAUUGAGGGGUACCUUCAACUAAGGCGUGAUGUCGGUCAAAACUUGGCAGCAGCUAACAAAUCAUUGACCGUGUAGGAUCUUUCCUUCAGCUUCGGAGGAACAUUUUUGUAAUUAAAGUCCUUUAUAUCUUCUUGAUGCUGCUUAACGCUCCACUUUGCGACAAAAAUGGCAUUGUCGUGGGGACUGAAACUGUGCCCUCAUAGAAAUUGAUCAUUUGGCACGUCGAUGUGAUGUGGAACUUCUACAACAAAGCUUAGAUAUUUCUUGGCUAAAUUUAAAAAUGUUGUACAAAACUCUGAUUUCUUUUAGUUGUUAAGUUGAUGAAAAGUCGGUUCUAUAUUAAUUGGAUUUUCUCAUGCAGUGUCUAAUUAAGUCACCUGCAAGGAACCAUUCUAUGUAGCGAUUGAUUCUCUUUUGGACUAGUUAGUGUCGCUAAUUUUUGAUUAGCUACGUGUGUCUGCAGACUCUAUUACUUUAUGAUCUAUCAAUGCCAAGUUCGAUACAUGAAUCCCACCUUCAUCGUGGGAAAUCUCAUUCUGCUGUUUGCUAUCUUCAAUAUCAAAUUGGUUAUUAUUCACCGGAUUUUCAUCUUUCUCAUAAGCAGAGUUCGGUUCUGCAAGAUCGUCUACGUUUUGUUCCAAAAUAGGGUUCCAGUGGUUUAUCAGGUCCCAUUCUAAGAAGUUCACCGGUAAUUAAACGAUGAUAUACACCAGCCCCUAAGUUUAGGUCAAUGGGUUCAGGUUGCCGAAAGUCAGGAUCUACUAGCGGCAGAUAUUAUAAUAUUCCCUCGGGAAUAUUAAGAUCAUUUUCAAUUGGUAAUGAUGGUUUCUUUGCAAAGGCUGUGGGAAUAAUAAACACCUCUUCUGGUGUUUCAAAACCUGAUGUAGAUGACGAGAGCUUAUUGAUCUCAUUGCUGUUGUUAUUUUUCCUCCGAUUCCAGAUAUUUUAAUCGGUAAUGAAAUUUCCUUAAGAGAUAGCAAAUCUGUCAUCCUCCUUGAGAUAGGAUUCACCUAUGAUCCGGAAUCUAUUACAGCGCGACAUGUCAAAAUGUUCCCUGCGUCACCGCAGAGUGAGCCUUGUAGAAAGUGCAGCUUCUGGCUAGCAAAGUGUGGUUUAUUAUGCACUAAUUCCGCUAAUAAGUCGUGAAACCGGGGUUAAUCUAGAUAGUUAGAUAUAGGCUCAUUGGAGAGUCGUUCAUAGCAAGACGGGCAAGGUCAUAUUUUAUUCUUUACAUAAGGUCUGGAACUGACUAACUUCUUCUGUGGCGGCUGCCUCUGUCCCAUGCGUGUGCCGGACCACAGGCCGGACCAAAUUGGCUACUGCUUGAUUUGUUGGGUGCUGGUCAUGUUGAGCACCCUUGGCUACGAACAGCAAUGUUGCUGUUGAUUGCGUUCCCCCAAGCCUGGGAGCAAUAAUUUAAAAUGUGCUUAAAGUGGAAUUUUAGAGCAGAACCUUGAGGUUCAGACACAGGAGUGAUUGAGAAUUUAUAAUCCAUUGUAGGCUACUAGCUUUCAGUUUGAGAUAUCCUUUUGCUUUCAAUAUGUCUCCGCUAGUUUAGACAUCUGACAAGGUGGACGCCGAGAUAUGUUACAUCGUUGGCUUGGGGGAUCUGCGUACUGUUCAAAGUUGCGAGGGGCAGUAUUGUCUGUUAAGAGUAACGUUAUAUGUUUACACUUUUGUUAAUUAAUUUUGAUUCGUCAGUCUAAUAGCCACUUCACAACUAUCACCAGAUAAUCUGUUGAGCUGCAGCUCUAGUUGGGCAGCUCGAGCGGCCCAGGCUUGCGGUUUCGUCGGCAAAUGUGGACGUCUGCUUUCGACAGGCUAAGCAAACCCAAAGCAAAACAGACAACCAAACAACAGACAAGAACAAUCUCAAAAAAUUUCGGUACAGCCAGUGCAAGUGCAAGCAAAGCCGGCGCGCAAGUAAACCUACGUGUCAUAAAAAUUACGGCGGCGAGAUGGACCCACUAGACCCCUCUAAAAAUGUAGAACUAUUAAAAAAAUCCAGGCCCCGAAUAUGUCAUUACUAGCAGAUCUGAACCAAAGGCCUCAUUUACAUCAAAACUACCAAAAAUGCGACAAAAGAACAGCCCUUUCAAUCUUAAAGUUACGUAACAUAAACAACACCCCGCUUCCAUACUCAACCGUCACCAAAAACGUAGCUCAAGCUCAUAAAAACGCUGCACUUCAGCAAAACUCAAUACCUCAACACCUCAAAGGACCCAAUUCCACGCAAGAAGCUUCAACAACCUCCAGAAAACUAACCUCUUAUACAGAUCUUACUACGACUACAGUUAUUAAAGUAAACUCCUUAAGCUUGCCAGAAACUUCCGACGAACUUCCCCCUAACCCAGUAAAAUUCCACGCAUGCUCGGCCCCCACCGAAAUCCCACGGCAGCCAAACAUCUAGCAGCCAAAUACUUUGUUGGCAAUAAAGUUGCCAACCAAACACAAACAUUGGGACGACUAAAGAUCCAAACCCCACAUGUGCAUCCGCUCCAAUUUCAAUGCCAUUCCGCUAGGUCAGCACAUUUGCAUGUCAACAUUUAAGCAUUGAAAGACGAAUACUAAAAUAAAGAAUUCAGUUCGAUAUAUGUUGUCAAAGAAACCACAACUUGGUACUGUUAAUUAUUGGGAGGCUCCCCGAACCAAAUUGAAAUUCCUUUACUAAGCUAACUCUCGCAACGCUCAAAGCCGCAAACAAGACUUCUAAUAAAAAGAAACCAAAACAAACGCAAACCAACCUGGAGACCCCUCGUGCGACUCUUGCGACAUGGAAACCAACUAAACUCCCAACUAAACUAAUGCUCAAAAUAUUGCAAUGAAAUAAAAAAGGCUAUAGAAAUAAUCACCUAGAAUUACAAAUACUUUUUAAGAAAUUACUUACUUAUCCAACACAAUAUCCAUCUCCAUACCCAUAAACUUCAAGUCUCCCCCCAUCAAAUCUUCCCAUAGUCGUCUUCAACAGUUGGCACCGUUAUUGGGGAUCCCACUGAUCCAACUCCAGAGGCAACAUAGUGGCGAAAUUCAUAGACCGCUCAGACUACAUCCUCCUUAAUGACAUGUCUCCAAACCGCUACUCUACUCACAGCACACUGACACACAUAGACCUGUCUCUCGCUACAGCCGACAAAGCCCAAGAAAUAACAUGGAAAGUGAUUAACGACCUUCAUGGAAGCGAUCACUUCCCAUCUUGAUUUCUAUGCACGCCAUUAUUGCUCCACCUGCCACUUUUACACCUACCAUCGCUCCGUUAUGGUCGGUAGUUCAGUCUGAGGGGGGAGGAGUAACCGCCUCAGCAAUUUCCCUCGGCGAAACCCCCACGGCAGCCAAACAUCUAGCAGCCUCAGCAAUUACCCUCAGCGGGCCCUCACCGAAAUCCUAAGGCAGUCAAACAUCUAGCAGCCAAAUACUUUGUUGGCAAUAAAGUUGCAAACCAAACACAAACAUUGGGACGACUCCAGAUCCAAACCCCACAUAUGCCUCCGCUCCAAUUACAAUUCCAUUCCGCUAGGUCAGCAUAUUUGCAUGUAAACAUUUAAGCAUUGAAAGACGAAUAAUAAAAUAAAGAAUUCAGUUCGAUAUAUGUUGUCAAAGAAACCACAACU